AAGGCUUUAAGUUAAAAAAACUGUUAACCUUCAAAGUUGGAAAUAUUAAUCAAAUUUUAAGUCUUA
This 66-nucleotide transfer RNA is filed under the name Typhlocyba sp. EMHAU-15062510. Its description in RNAcentral is "tRNA-Trp". Lineage: Eukaryota; Metazoa; Arthropoda; Insecta; Hemiptera; Cicadellidae. The record is from RNAcentral. RNAcentral also lists the same sequence under 1 other name.